RNAcentral lists this ribosomal RNA (468 nucleotides) under uncultured bacterium. RNAcentral describes it as "partial 16S ribosomal RNA". It matches the Rfam family "Bacterial small subunit ribosomal RNA", at positions 28 to 507 of the family's 1533-position model. The record is from RNAcentral.
GACGAACGCUGGCGGCGUGCUUAACACAUGCAAGUCGAACGGAAAGGCCCUGCUUUUGUGGGGUGCUCGAGUCGCGAACGGGUGAGUAACACGUGAGUAACCUGCCCUUGACUUUGGGAUAACUUCAGGAAACUGGGGCUAAUACCGGAUAGGAGCUCCUGCUGCAUGGUGGGGGUUGGAAAGUUUCGGCGGUUGGGGAUGGACUCGCGGCUUAUCAGCUUGUUGGUGGGGUAGUGGCUUACCAAGGCUUUGACGGGUAGCCGGCCUGAGAGGGUGACCGGCCACAUUGGGACUGAGAUACGGCCCAGCAUCCUACGGGAGGCAGCAGUGGGGAAUAUUGCACAAUGGGCGGAAGCGUGAUGCAGCAACGCCGCGUGCGGGAUGACGGCCUUCGGGUUGUAAACCGCUUUCGCCUGUGACGAAGCGUGAGUGACGGUAAUGGGUAAAGAAGCACCGGCUAACUACGUG